Long non-coding RNA from Vicia villosa (hairy vetch), 1913 nucleotides. RefSeq lists it as uncharacterized. NCBI's taxonomy places the organism in Eukaryota, Viridiplantae, Streptophyta, Magnoliopsida, Fabales, Fabaceae. The transcript is spliced from 6 exons. The record is from RefSeq and is a predicted model, not a curated record.
GAUUAUUCAUCCCCUCAACUCUCACAUUUCUCUUCACACUUCCAUCGCUCAAAAUUUCUCUUUAGAAUCCCUCAAUCCUAAAACUUCGCACGCACAAAGCAAAACAAAAGUUCUUCUUCUUCCUUAUUCUCAUUAUUCCAUGCGAUUAGAUUGUACAAAUUUUGGAACCCUAAUCUACCACAUUUCAUUUCACACCUUCAUUGCAACCUCACAAAACACACUAUUCAAAAUCAAUCUUCUCUGUUAACAUCGAUUAUCUCAUCGUCGGAGUGUUAUUACUUACCUUCAUAGUCAUCAAUGGCCAUGAUCGGUAACGAAAUUCCCCGUCAUUCCUCCGUUAACCCCCAAUCGAGUCGACUUCCUAUCUCUUUGCCAUGGAACCAAGUAUUUUGCAGCGAAUCAGAGUUUGUUCCCGCCGUUUCUUCAUCGUCGCUGUCGGAGGAACCUUUUUCGUCCAAAACCAUGGUGCUGAAACUCAAUCGCUCGAGAUUUCUUCUCACAAACCAUCAGUCCUUCAAUCGCUCAACCCUUUCAUCGCUGCUGAAACACUAAUCGAUGGGUGAACUCAACAUGUGACUUAUGAGCUACCCAGUAAGAUAUUGGUUCGUUUCAAAGGUGUUGGAGGGUCUUGAUGAUGCUCUUGAUGUUAGAGGUGUGUAGGAUCCUGCCCGUGAUCGGUAUGAUCAUCACUAGAAAGGACUUGAGAAGGUUUUUGGGCAUGGUUUCUCCACUAAGUUUAGUAGUGCUGGUCUUGUUUAUAAGCAUUUUGGAAAGGAAAUUAUAGCCAAUGAGCUUAAGCUAGAUGAAGAGCACCAUAUUGUGAAUUACAUAUGUUUGGCUGUUUACAAGAGCUUCAUGGAGGUUGUUGAGAUUUCAAUCUUGGAGAUCAUGAAAACAGAAUAGAGUGCAAUCAAGAGUAAACUUCCUAUUGUAUUUUCUAAGUGACUUAGGGGACUACUGGUGGGGUUUAUUAGAAUAUGUCAGUGUAUUUGGCUCUGCUGUUGUAGUGUGUAUCGCUCUACUGUGAUGCAGAGUAAACUGGAUAGGUACCAACCUGAAUCUGUGUUGCCUGACCCAGCUAAUAUCAUUUCUGAACAGAAUCAGGUUCUCAUAUGAACUGGAGUUUAUAUAACAAGCACAUAAUUAAGGACCUCUCUCCCUCUCCUUGUAGUACAUCCAUGCUUGUUUAAGAUUAACCUAUUUUGUGUCUAAAAUAUUUUUUAUCCCUUUUGUUUAGGGAUUUGUAGCUGUUUAAAAAAACAAAGGUAACAUUUUUCUAAUUGGCACUUUAUUAAUUGCUCACAACUGCAACGAAAUACUCUACACAAAGAAAUUUUUCGGCUUUAUAUUUUCUUCAAGAAUUAAAGAUGCUUAGUUAGUUUGUCUAAUAUAUUUUAGAAGCAAAACCAUUUUGUUAAUUAUCACUGCUUAGCUUGUGUAGUACUCAGAACAACUAUAAUUGGGCAAUUUGACUGACACUAUUAGUUGUUAUUUAAUGCUUUUUUCACCUCAGAUUUAUUCCUUUGUCUCUCAGUAAAAGUCUUACUUGGCUUAUAAUUAACCAUGUUACAUUGCUACGUUAGGAGGUUGUGAUGGAAAAACUUCAGAGCAAAUCAGUACCCAAUUAGAAAGUCUGGAUCAUACACUCAAAGAUAUUAUGAUAGUCUUUAUCACUGACCUUUGGAAGGCUACCGAUGCUUCUAUGGCCUCAAAUCAAACAACAGCUCGAAAUCCAUGAUGAAGACGGGAGAGAAGAAGAUUAGAGACUGAUUUUAUCUUAGAUAUUUUUUUGUGUUUUUUUUUUGUCGAAGCAUCUAUUUUAGUGGUUGUUAUUAUAUAAUAAUUGACCUUAUUUUGUUAUUUUGAUUUUACUGGGUGAAAAUUGGAUGUGGAUAGCGCAACACUUGUUUGUU